ACACUUGAUGCUGGGGACCAUGAGAUGGCAGGUGCAUGAGGCCGCUUGCUCACAUGCUGGAAGCUCUGCAUUCUGCCGUUUGUUCACAGAAUCAUUCCCAAUAAAAAGAGAAGUUCAAAAGAAAGGGAUAGACGUUGUCCUCCUGGAGAUGAUAACUCCUCCUACAACCUUAGAGGAUGCUGAAAGAGGAAGUGAGCAAGCUGAAGCCCAUGGGGGCAUCUUCAGACGGAUCUUCUUCAAUAGUCAAAUGGGGUUUGGCCACUAGAUCCUCCCCAGUGUCCGCAGAGGACAACUCCAUGGUUUUAUCUAAACUUCUUCAUGCAUGGUUCCAUUGGAGAAUUCAGAAGCUAGGACAAAAUAACUUAUUUCUGAUGAUAUUUGAGAACACAUUAAAGAUUUUUAAACCACAUU
Long non-coding RNA from Mus musculus (house mouse), 411 nucleotides. RefSeq annotates it as predicted gene, 49723. The record is from RefSeq and is marked validated. The transcript has 3 exons. NCBI's taxonomy places the organism in Eukaryota, Metazoa, Chordata, Mammalia, Rodentia, Muridae.